RNAcentral lists this ribosomal RNA (460 nucleotides) under uncultured bacterium. RNAcentral's name for it is "partial 16S ribosomal RNA". It matches the Rfam family "Bacterial small subunit ribosomal RNA", at positions 338 to 795 of the family's 1533-position model. The record is from RNAcentral.
CCUACGGGAGGCUGCAGUGAGGAAUAUUGGUCAAUGGGCGAGAGCCUGAACCAGCCAAGUCGCGUGAAGGAUGAAGGAUCUAUGGUUUGUAAACUUCUUUUAUAUGGGGAUAAAGUGAGGAACGUGUUCCUGUUUGUAUGUACCAUAUGAAUAAGCAUCGGCUAACUCCGUGCCAGCAGCCGCGGUAAUACGGAGGAUGCAAGCGUUAUCCGGAUUUAUUGGGUUUAAAGGGUGCGUAGGUGGUCGAUUAAGUCAGCGGUGAAAGUUCGUGGCUCAACCAUAGAAUUGCCGCUGAUACUGGUUGGCUUGAGUGUAGUUGCGGUAGGCGGAAUGCGUGGUGUAGCGGUGAAAUGCAUAGAUAUCACGCAGAACUCCGAUUGCGAAGGCAGCUUACUAAGCUAUAACUGACGUUGAGGCACGAAAGCGUGGGGAGCAAACAGGAUUAGAUACCCUUGUAGUC